UCGAAGUACGGUGAUUAAAGGCGGCAUUAGCUCUGCUCUGAAUAAAACACGUAUUUGAUAAUAAAUGUUCUUGUUAUACAGAUUUGCGAGUUUUACUACAUGACUUUGCAUGUGUCAGUUUUUGAAUCAAAGUCGGAUCUAAACAAGAAGUUCUUUCUGAAAUUCGUUAGAAAAGCAUACUGCUAAGCUUCGAAGGGUCGGAUGUUGCAUGAUUUCAGAGGUGACUGUAUUCACCCUUAAAGAUGAUUUUUUCUUUUUUAAGGAAAGAGUUAAUAUUCCAAGAAAGAUAAGCCAAUCAAACCGAACUCGAGAGAAAAAUGAAGAACAUUAAACCUACAGAGUUAUUAGGUUAUUUUGAAGCAGGAGACAUGAGAAAUGAGUAAUGACUUGGCCAUGAGUGGAACCUGGACCUCUCGAAUACGCGCCCAGUGAGCUACCGUUACACCACGGAGCCAUGUUGGAAGCAAGGAGAAAAUAAGGCUGUUUAUUAAUUAACACGGUUAUCUAAUAAUUUUGCCUAAAAUACCACUUUUACUUUUGCUCCCACCAGGAUGAAAACUAGAUAAGUGCAGAGUUCUGGAGUUUAGGAGAGAGCCUUUGGUAGCUUUCGCUGACCGGUUACUCUGUUACACAUCACUACUACUGAAUUGCGUUUUGGCUUGAGCUUCACUAGCCACAUUUGCUUGACUAUUUAGUCAAAGUUUGUUUAGGUGUUACUUGUUACUUUAAAUAUAAAGUAAGUAAAUAAUAAUUAGCAAAUAAUAGACUAAAAUACCAUAAAGCUUAAAUGAAAAUGAGGAAAUUUAUGAAAAAUUAAAAUGAUGCAGUUAAAUGAAAUAAUUAAAUAAAUGAACGGUAAUUGAUUUUAUUAUGACAAAGCAUAAUACAGUGGAAAAAUUUUAGGCCUGGUGUUCCUUUCUCUUUUUCUCUCUCUUUUUUAAUUGCCGGAUACUUCUCACGUGUUAUGAACAGACAAACUAAUCAGUCAUUUAGCGUCUUAUCACCAAGAACGUUGCAUCGUGUACACUGCUACAGGUGUCUGACAUUACGCUCGCGAAAACCGAAAGAACACAUAAAUAUUCAAGCUUUUCAUGGGAUUCAAACACUUAUCCUACGAUUAAGAUUAGCAGUCGGAUUCCGCUAACCACUACACAGUCCAAGGGAACAAACAAUAAAGCAAAAAUUAAUAUUUUAUUAGAAUUUAUUGCACAGAGAUACAGUAGACGUUGUGUUUGGUCAUUUAGCGUCAAACAAAAAUCUUUUUUUCUUUAUUAUUAUUUUGGCUUCUAAUCCCUUUAAAGACAUUUUGACGGAAUGAAUACAAUCCAUAAAAAUCCCUCUUUCCCAUGGGUUUCCAAUUUGAGAAUGAGGAUUUUGGUCCUCAGCUGGUGAAGUUUUCCUACACAUUUCCUUUUCCCAAGGAAAUUGAAUCGUUCUUUCUGUAUAUAGUAUCCGUAUCAGUUUUACUGACUGCUUAACCAGAGGUGACAUGAAUAGUGUUGCGUGCGUACGGGUUCGUAAUAAACUGAAUGCACAAGUCCGAUGAAAAGUGAAUAAAAUUUGUUAUUAUCACAACAAAUAAAAAAUACUUAAAUUUUCUCAGAUAUUCCCACAAUAUUGAAAUAUAUCACAGUAGUUAUCUUUUAUACUACUAAAACGUUCAACAGAACUUAAUUCAAAACAGAGAAAGCUAAUCCGAUUUCACCGCGGAUUCGCUACAGUCAUUAACAGCAAUAUGUAAACAAUUGAAUUGAGAUGUUUUGAUCCCGCUUUUAUAAGCUUUUUAAAUGUGCACGAGAAUAUUCUGGUAUUUUCCCGAUUCCCGAAAAGCAAAAGUGUACAAUUACGAGAUAUCUAUUUAUUAAAUGUGCGAGCUUCUCUAUUUUUAAUUUUUUUGGCGUAGCUUUCUCUUCAAAUAAGUCUCGUGCUGAAUUGCACGAGUAAAACAAUUUUAAUUAAUUCUAUUUAAAAAUAGCUAAAUCAAUACAAAAACCGUAACAAUAUUUUCUGUGAAUAUUGCAAUUCCAUUCUAUAGAGGAGUAUUGUCUUAUUUAAAGCUCUAGCACACCCUGGCUAGAACUACGAUUUCAGUCAAAACAUUUAGGAUAAUCGAAAUCGGACAUCAGUUACAUUCAAGCAUUGAUCAGAGUGAAAUGUUUCAUGUCUUAAGACAGUUGCUAAUGACACACUAAAAUUAUUAAAUUCAAAUCUUCCAACUAACCAUGGCAAAAGAACAUUUCUUUAACAACGUAAAUUAUUAAUUAACUUGUUUUGUUGCAUUAGGGAAUUCCCGUAUGUCUCGGGUUUUUACCUUAUACCAGCGGACUGCGGCCAAGAAAAAUUUAUAAGUUUCUACGUUCAUCUGAAAAGAAAGUGCAUGAAACAUUUCAAUAUGGAAUGAAAUGAGUUCAUUCUUUCCAAGCAACAGCCAGUUCGUAAACAAUUUUUUGGUUGCCAAAACCAGGAAACGAAAUUUUCGACACUUCAGGUUAAUACGUAUACGUAUGACAUCAUGUGUUAAAUUUAAUGUAAUAUAAAGCAUUUUCUCAAUAUCAAUAAAAGAAUUAAUGGGACAAUAACAUACCGUACAUAACCAAUUUUCCUGACUUGAAACAAAACAAGUUGCCAGCAUCAGCCAUUUAUUUAAAAUGCUGACAUUAACGAAAAAGUUUCGAAAUGCAAUGACGUCACAUGCAAUCGCCUGCUUUCUUCUACUUCAGAAUAUGACAUUAUAUAAUAAUAACAUAUUUAGUGUUUGGCAAUGCUAUUUUUAUUUCAUAUUUUAUAAAAUUUACAAUUUUUUUAACAAAGUCAACGAUUUGAAAGCGAGCAGUGGCAACACUUUUCGAAAUAAAACAUUUUUAUCUCCAGCGACUCCCGAGAAUGUUGCCGCUCGGAAAAGUGAGUGCCACUAUUAGUGUUUCAGAGUUUUUAAUUAAUAUCUCGGUUGAUUAAAAUCGUACGAAGAUGACAAUGGUCGAAAUGACUUUCCCUGCAUUUUUGGAAUCCGGGCGUAACACUGUCGAACUCCCCGCCUUUCCGGAGGAGAUGAUACCACAAACAAACAAAUAAACUAACAGAUUUUAAUACUGCAGAUGUUACUACUGUAAUGUUGCUACGUUGGCAAAACUAAAUAUCAUGUGAAAAAUGUAAAACUCGCGCAUAAAAUGUGCUCGCUUGAAGAUCCUCGCGCUGGAAAUGUUUUCCAUGCGUUAGAAUAUUUUUUAGAUUUUGGUAAAUUGAAAAAUAAAAUGCCUGGAUGUUCGACCGAAAUGAAGAAAUUCUUUUAAAAGCGCAUACUACCCUGAAUAUGCUCAUUACGUUUCGUCGUUUUAAAGUCAUUUUUAUUAUUCAGAGAAUGACCAGAAUAACAUCGAUUGAAUGAGUCCUUUAAAUACCUUUCACUGCAUUUUCAGUCAGGCUUCAAAUUUCUCCAAAAAAAAAAAAAAAAAAUGCUUCGUUAUCAAACGAAACUUUUAAAGAAGACCAGAGGAAUAAACAUCUUUAAAAUAAGCCAGCUUUAAAUAAAUAACUUUGAACUCAUAUGUACAGCACAGUGUAAACUUAAAAACAAAACAUUUGUCUCUGUAUAAUAAUAAAUGCAUAAUAAUAAUGCCUAGAAACUUCGGCUUUCACGUUGCGAAAGGACUUGAGAAAUGGUUUUUCCCUUUUGUAAAACACAUUGUAUCGUUAAUGAUGCUAGUAUUUGGACAGCAUGCAGAGACAGAAAAUUGACAUGAUAGCGCAAGAUUCGUUUUCUACGAAAUUUACGAUUGUAAAAAAUAAUAAUUAAUCAAUGCUUCAAGUUGUAUACAUAAAUUAAUUAAUAAGAUUUUUACUGUAAGACUGAGUUAAAAAAAUAAUAAUUCUUUUUUCACAGUUUCAAAUUGGCCUCCGCUGCAUGCAUCUCAUGCUCUAAGAUGACACCCCUGUUAAAUACUACUUUCUGUAUCUUAAUCUGCUGCAUUUACAUUAUUUUAGGUUUUUAUUCUUUUGUUCUUUUGUUCAGUCUGCUUCACGCCUUGCAUCUAGAGGAAAAGGUUUCUUCAUGUACGUUCUUAGGUAUGUACAACAUCUAAACACAAAUGAACGAGCUUAUAAUUAAAUAUAUGUUAAAUGGGUAUUAACAGUUUUAACAAAAUGGUAAAAAAGCAAGGGCGGAAGUUAUGAAUUCUUCUACAGAAAACCAACAAUUUUAAGUGUUUCAGUUCUUUUAAUUCAUGUUGCUUAAAAGUAUAUAUAAUUUUGCAUUCAAAUGAAAUUAUUAUUUAUUGAAAUAAGUAUUUAGUUUCGAUAUUUUUUAACAUAAAAUCUACUGUUAUGUUUGAGAAAAGUUUGUUUGAAAAAUAAAUAUUUUUUUAAACAAGUCCUUUGAAUUUGAGCAAAAAAUUCUUUAAAUUUUAGGAAACGAAGUAUUGGUAAUUGUCCAAGUGGCGCGAACGUUAAGAUAUAGGGACGGAAUCUUUGUCGAGAUUCGAAAACUCGAAUGUUCACACUUUUUCACAUUUGGAAUAUUUCGAAUGCUAAUUUAAAAAACUGUUAAAUGUUUCAAAUAAAAUCUUGAAUUUGUUUUCCCUGGAUAUUAAAGCGUUUAAUAAGAAAACGAUGACUGAUCACUUGUAAGGUGUAUUUUAAGCUUUUAACAGUUAAUUUUGAGUUAAAGCCACUUUCCCAUCCAUCUUAAUUUCAGCUUACAAUUUCCUGCCAGACAUGUUUUCAGAAUCGCGGUUAAAUGUAAAUGAAGGAAGAGCAAAUAUUUAAAGUGGAAUUUCGACUGACUUCGUUAGAUAGCCAGAGAUUCUGACCAGCGCGAGUUCGCCUUUUGGCUGUAUUCUCUCUAAAGCUAUUAGACUUUAGGCCCCUGAUAGCUUCGGUUAGUUAGCAUUAAGGAGCCAACUCCUGUAAAAUUAUGAUAGCUUCGGCUAUAUCUCUUUAGUUUAGUUAAGUUUUAUUUCUUAGCAUUCUUGAGUUUAAAGCCCAAGUAGAGGCUUUGCUGUACGUCCUGAAAGAGGACCGACUGUGAACUUUAUUUGAGCAAUAAAAGGUAAUUAACUUUUCGUGAGUUUACGUUUCUAUCUUUCUGAACUAAGCGAUUAUUCGCUUACCAUUUCUUAAAGUUCUACACAUUAACUGUAAAUUCUAGGUUGGUACAUUACACACUAAAACGAGAAUGCCACAAAGAACUGCUGUGGAAGCUUGGGACAGCUUUCAAGUAAUCUGCGCGUUCUGUUUCUUAGAAACUUUUCGAUAUUAAAUCUCAAAUAUUUCACUCUGGACAAGAUAUAUACUACA
This is a long non-coding RNA of Stegodyphus dumicola, 5292 nucleotides long. RefSeq lists it as uncharacterized. Lineage: Eukaryota; Metazoa; Arthropoda; Arachnida; Araneae; Eresidae. The record is from RefSeq and is a predicted model, not a curated record.